GCCAGUCGUUCACCAGAAAUGUGAUUUUAUUAUUGCAUCCAAUUCAACAUUAUUCAAAAAAUAUAUAUAUAUAUAUAUUAUUUUGUUUAUCAUUGGUCGUCAUGGAAACAUACGAGGAAGUCAAAAGGAACAAAAUUUAAAUACAUAUUUAUGAACUAAAACACACAGUAACACAUUAACACCUCCAUCUUAAAGGUCUGGGAUCAGGAUGGGAAUAACACCUCCAUCUUAAAGGUCUGGGAUCAGGAUGGGAAUAACACCUCCAUCUUAAAGGUCUGGGAUCAGGAUGGGAAUAACACCUCCAUCUUAAAGGUCUGGGAUCAGGAUGGGAAUCGUCUACGUUGGAAUAUAAUAUAACGAAUUCCAGAUUGUAGCUUUACUAACUAGGCUGAGAGCUGAUCUGAUAUUCAUUCCAAAUCUACGCGGCGCCUCUGUUGUAGUGGAGAGGGGUAGGACUGGGGGAGGAGUGGAGAGGGGUAGGAGGAGAGGAGUGGAGUGGGGUAGGACGGAGGAGAGGAGUAGAGAGGGGAGGGGUAGGACGGAGGAGUGGAGUGGAGAGGGGUAGGACGGAGGAGAGGGGUAGGACGGAGGAGAGGAGAGAGGAGUGGAGGGGUAGGACGAAGGAGAGGAGUAGAGAGGGGAGGGGUAGGACGGAGGAGAGGAGGGAGAGGGAGAGGGGUAGGACGGAGGAGAGGAGUGGAGAGAGGGGGAGGGGUAGGACGGAGGAGAGGAGUAGAGAGGGGAGGGGUAGGACGGAGGAGAGGGGUAGGACGGAGGAGAGGAGUAGAGAGGGGAGGGGUAGGAGGGAGGAGAGGAGUAG
Oncorhynchus tshawytscha (Chinook salmon) is the source of this 820-nucleotide long non-coding RNA. The record is from Ensembl. Lineage: Eukaryota; Metazoa; Chordata; Actinopteri; Salmoniformes; Salmonidae.